This 610-nucleotide ribosomal RNA is filed under the name uncultured bacterium. RNAcentral describes it as "bacterial SSU rRNA". The stretch from base 1 to 517 matches the Rfam family "Bacterial small subunit ribosomal RNA", at positions 338 to 873 of the family's 1533-position model. The record is from RNAcentral.
CCUACGGGAGGCAGCAGUGGGGAAUCUUGCGCAAUGGGCGAAAGCCUGACGCAGCAACGCCGCGUGCGGGAUGAAGGCCUUCGGGUUGUAAACCGCUUUCAGCAGGGAAGAAAUUGACGGUACCUGCAGAAGAAGCCCCGGCCAACUACGUGCCAGCAGCCGCGGUAACACGUAGGGGGCGAGCGUUGUCCGGAUUUAUUGGGCGUAAAGAGCUCGUAGGCGGUUCGGUAAGUCGGGUGUGAAACCUCCAGGCUCAACCUGGAGACGCCACCUGAUACUGUUGUGACUAGAGUCCGGUAGGGGAGUGUGGAACUCCUGGUGUAGCGGUGAAAUGCGCAGAUAUCAGGAAGAACACCAGCGGCGAAGGCGGCACUCUGGGCCGGUACUGACGCUGAGGAGCGAAAGCGUGGGUAGCAAACAGGAUUAGAUACCCUGGUAGUCCGACGACGUAACGUAGGUCGACUAGUGUGGUCGUCACCAACGAGAUCGUCGCGCAGACUACGCAUAAGUGCCCGCCGUCGGGAGGUACGGCCGCGACGGACGUAAACCGUAACGAAACGGAAGUAGACGGCGUGAGACGUUGCCGAACGGACGACGACGAGGGAGGAGG